RNAcentral lists this ribosomal RNA (90 nucleotides) under Gossypium arboreum. The record is from RNAcentral. Lineage: Eukaryota; Viridiplantae; Streptophyta; Magnoliopsida; Malvales; Malvaceae.
GGGUGCGAUCAUACCAGCACUAAUGCACCGGAUCCCAUCAGAACUCCGCAGUUAAGCGUGCUUGGGCAAAACAAUUUUGGACAGCAGCAG